AAAAGGAGAAGAACAAA
This 17-nucleotide small RNA is filed under the name Arabidopsis thaliana (thale cress). Its description in RNAcentral is "ATSL139030". The record is from RNAcentral. Lineage: Eukaryota; Viridiplantae; Streptophyta; Magnoliopsida; Brassicales; Brassicaceae.